Molecule: ribosomal RNA, 503 nt
Filed under: uncultured bacterium
Lineage: Bacteria
Description: bacterial SSU rRNA
Rfam family: Bacterial small subunit ribosomal RNA
Source: RNAcentral
AACGCUGCGGCGUAGCCUAACACAUGCAAGUCGUAGAGAAAGUUGGCUUCGGCUGAUAGAGUAAAGUGGCGGCACGGGUGAGUAACGCGUGGAUAAUCUGCCUUUUAGUUGGGAAUAACGUACCGAAAAGGUGCGCUAAUACCGGAUAAUACUGCAUAACUACUGUUGUGUAGUCAAAGAAGGCCUCUGUUUACUAAGCUUUUGCUGAAAAGAUGAGUCCGCGUACCAUUAGCUAGUUGGUAGGGUAAUGGCCUACCAAGGCUACGAUGGUUAGCUGGUCUGAGAGGAUGAUCAGCCACACUGGAACUGAGACACGGUCCAGACUCCUACGGGAGGCAGCAGUGAGGAAUAUUGCGCAAUGGGGGCAACCCUGACGCAGCAACGCCGCGUGAGUGAGGAAGGUUUUCGGACCGUAAAGCUCUGUCGAGCGGGAAGAAAUGUAUCGUGGCUAAUAUCCAUGAUAUUUGACGGUACCGCUAAAGGAAGCACCGGCUAACUCCGUG